Molecule: non-coding RNA, 70 nt
Filed under: Schistosoma mansoni
Lineage: Eukaryota; Metazoa; Platyhelminthes; Trematoda; Strigeidida; Schistosomatidae
Source: RNAcentral
CUCAAAACUCCGCCUGUAGCUUCUCUAGAGUUACUGCCGGUCCCAAGUCCGGCUAAAGGAGGAAGGUUAG